UUCCAGACUCCUACGGGAGGCAGCAGUGAGGAAUAUUGGUCAAUGGGCGAGAGCCUGAACCAGCCAAGUCGCGUGAGGGAAGACGGUCCUAUGGAUUGUAAACCUCUUUUGCCGGGGAGCAAAAAGCGGUACGUGUACCGCAUCGAGAGUACCCGGAGAAAAAGCAUCGGCUAACUCCGUGCCAGCAGCCGCGGUAAUACGGAGGAUGCGAGCGUUAUCCGGAUUUAUUGGGUUUAAAGGGUGCGUAGGCGGUAUUUUAAGUUAGUGGUAAAACGUCGGGGCUUCACCUUGAUUGGCCAUUAAAACUGGAGUACUAGAGUACAGACGAGGUAGGCGGAAUAAGUUAAGUAGCGGUGAAAUGCUUAGAUAUAACUUAGAACCCCGAUAGCGAAGGCAGCUUACCAGACUGUUACUGACGCUGAAGCACGAGAGCGUGGGUAGCGAACAGGAUUAGAUACCCUGGUA
This 465-nucleotide ribosomal RNA is filed under the name uncultured bacterium. Its description in RNAcentral is "partial 16S ribosomal RNA". It matches the Rfam family "Bacterial small subunit ribosomal RNA", at positions 329 to 792 of the family's 1533-position model. The record is from RNAcentral.